RNAcentral lists this ribosomal RNA (421 nucleotides) under uncultured bacterium. Its description in RNAcentral is "bacterial SSU rRNA". It matches the Rfam family "Bacterial small subunit ribosomal RNA", at positions 358 to 795 of the family's 1533-position model. The record is from RNAcentral.
GGAAUUUUCCGCAAUGGGCGAAAGCCUGACGGAGCAAUACCGCGUGAAGGAUGAAGGCCUGUGGGUCGUAAACUUCUUUUCUCAUAGAAGAAUAAUGACGGUAUAUGAGGAAUAAGCAUCGGCUAACUCCGUGCCAGCAGCCGCGGUAAUACGGAGGAUGCAAGCGUUAUCCGGAAUGAUUGGGCGUAAAGCGUCUGUAGGUGGCUUAACAAGUCAACUGUUAAAUCUUGAGGCUCAACCUCAAAAUCGCAGUCGAAACUGUUAGGCUAGAGUAUAGUAGGGGUAAAGGGAAUUUCCAGUGGAGCGGUGAAAUGCGUAGAGAUUGGAAAGAACACCGAUGGCGAAGGCACUUUACUGGGCUAUUACUGACACUCAGAGACGAAAGCUAGGGUAGCAAAUGGGAUUAGAUACCCCAGUAGUC